CUUAAAUUACAAAUGCUGGAGAUGGGUUCAUUUAUAAACAACAGAAACUUGUUCUUCUGAUUAGUGUGCUAGCAUGGAGAAAUACAGUUUGUCAAAAUCUUAUAAUGGAACAAAUGCAUUGGACCCAUAGGCAUACAACUUUGAUGGAUGAUGUCAGAUGUGCGCUAGCUGUAAAGUGCCUUUAUUAUGUUGAGGUUGUACCACACUCAAUAUGGAUGAGACAGUGACCCCGACAACUCAUAAUUCAGUUUUUUGUCUUAUAUUGGGAUAUGCACUUCCAAUUAAGUUCAGUGAUCAUCAUGGAAGAAAAGGACAGAAAGAUUGUAAGAGUCAGAGGAGUGUAUUAAUGCAGCAAAAUGGUGUUUUCUGGAAAUGACAAGGGAGCUUCACACAUCAACUCAUGUGGUGAUAUCUUGUUUAUGAACUAAUAAUACUUGUCUGAAGAUUACAAUAUAAAGGUAGUCACAGCUACAGAAGCUUGGCAAUGAUGGCACACACCUCUAAUCCCAGGACUCAUGAGACAGAGGCAGAUAGAUCUCUGUGAGUUUAAGGCAACUCAGGGCAACAUAAGAGUGAAUCAGUCUAAAAGAGAAACAGAGCUCACACCUUUAAUCCCAGCACUGGAGAGGUAUAUAAGACAGGAGCAGGGUUUCAUAUUCUGGCACUUAGUCUACAGCCAUGUUGAGGAUAGAAUCUCUCCAGCCUUGGGAGAGGUCAGAACUCUCUGGUGGCUUGGGUGCUUUGCUUUUCUGAUCCUCAGCUUGAACCCUACUAUCUAUCUCUGGAUUUGUGUUAUUCAUGCUCACAACAGCUGUGACGACAAUCAGAGCAGCAACACAAGAUCAAGCCAGACAAAUUCCAACAUGGAUUGAGGAGGGCGUCACAAAGUCCCAUCCCUAGCCAAGGAGCUAUUAGCAAUAUAUGGACACUGGAGGGGGAGUCAGCAUUCUUCAGGGAUGGGACCCAUGGGAGGCUAUGCAGCCUCCAGUAGAUUUCCUCCCAUCCCUGCAAAUACUGGCAACACUAAGUGGGCAUAGUGGGUUAAAAAAAUAAAAAGAACAUACAAGGUUGUUGAGGAAACUGUAUCAUCAGCCUUUGACAUUAUUUAACUAUUUCUUUCUCUCUGAAACCUUCGUUUAACUGGCUUUCUUGGGUACCAAAUCACUGGUUGCUUUGUCUCGGACUCUAUUCACUUUCUCCUGCCUGUCUCUUGCCUCUAUGUGGCAGUACACUUCUGGGAUCAUUUUUCAGUCUUUGUUUAUGCGCUCUUACAAAUUGAUGAUUUCACAUCUCUCAAAGCCUUCACUAUUAGCUGAACCUUCAUGUCUUG
Molecule: long non-coding RNA, 1330 nt
Filed under: Cricetulus griseus (Chinese hamster)
Lineage: Eukaryota; Metazoa; Chordata; Mammalia; Rodentia; Cricetidae
Description: lncRNA (ENSCGRG00015030813.1)
Source: RNAcentral